Molecule: long non-coding RNA, 394 nt
Filed under: Vigna radiata
Lineage: Eukaryota; Viridiplantae; Streptophyta; Magnoliopsida; Fabales; Fabaceae
Description: long non-coding RNA (VRAD_LNC013245)
Source: RNAcentral
AUGCACAUGUCAUCACAAGGACUUUUUCCAAAGCUUGUAUUGUGGUUGGGCUAUCAAGAAAAAUUGGUUUUUCUGGAAUACAAAAUCCUUGAGUUAAGAGAGUUUAAAUCAUCAUUCAAAGUUCAAGCACACUCUCUUUUUAACCAAUCUCACUCAUUCCCAACUUUUUCCCUUUUUCCAUUUACAUUGAGUUCACUUAUCAUGUUUUUUCUCUUUUCUUCUUUUCUUUUCUUUCUCAUGCAUUUUUCUUUUUCAUCUUUCGAACUCAAUAGUUUUGCUUUUGCCUUUUACUUUCCCCAUACAACCCCAAACUUGAACCUUUUCAACACAUAUAAUUAUUCUCAACCCAACUCAAGGUAAUUCAAUUCAAACAAAGGUUUUCAUACUGUUUAAG